AGCGCUUUUGUUGUUGUUGUUGUGCUAAGCUAAAAGGCAGAAUGCUACAGGCAUGGCCCUAAAGAAUGUAGCAUGCAGCGAGAAUGGACUGCCAUACACGUUAUGUGUCUGUGAGCGAGGGAGGGAGAAAAAGGAAAAGUCCGAGCUGUCACGGAGCAAAAACGGGAGCUGGAAGCAUGUAAAUAUAAUAAUAACCACCGCACCCAAGAAGAGUGCCUGACGAGCCCAUUUAAUCUUGGACCGCGACCUGCUCACUCACCAGAAGGACCUACCUGUUUCAGCCAGUUCCACUCCCUGCGUCCACCUCAGCCUGGCUCACCUUAGUGAAAGUCUCAGGUCUCACAUGUGCCUGCCUGCUCUCCACCUUACCAGCUUCCUCAUCUCUGGAACCCAGCCUGCCCUCUGACAUAUCCCCUCACUACCUCCAUUCUCUGGAUCUCAAUUAAGAUAAGCCAACUCAGUUAUAACAAACAACGUUCCCUCAUUACUCUCCAUCAGCCAGUGCUAACUCAGUUUCUCCCCAUCCACAGACCCUUCCAGAUCCUCAGCAUUCUUACCAUCAUUGCCUGGCUCUGUUCUCCCUGGUUAUGUCUGCACUUUAUAAAUAAACAUCUUAAUCUGU
Molecule: long non-coding RNA, 622 nt
Organism: Oreochromis aureus
Lineage: Eukaryota; Metazoa; Chordata; Actinopteri; Cichliformes; Cichlidae
Source: Ensembl